GAGUUUGAUCGUGGCUCAGAACGAACGCUGGCGGCAGGCCUAACACAUGCAAGUCGAACGCCCGUAGCAAUACGGGAGUGGCAGACGGGUGAGUAACACGUGGGAACGUACCCUUUGGUUCGGAACAACUCCGGGAAACUGGAGCUAAUACCGGAUAAGCCCUACGGGGGAAAGAUUUAUCGCCGAAGGAUCGGCCCGCGUCGGAUUAGCUAGUUGGUGGGGUAAAAGCUCACCAAGGCGACGAUCCGUAGCUGGUCUGA
Molecule: ribosomal RNA, 260 nt
Filed under: uncultured Alphaproteobacteria bacterium
Lineage: Bacteria; Pseudomonadati; Pseudomonadota; Alphaproteobacteria
Description: partial 16S ribosomal RNA
Rfam family: Bacterial small subunit ribosomal RNA
Source: RNAcentral